GGAAGAGCCUGUGAGAUGGGAAGACAAGAGGUUGGAGCCUGGGGGACACUGGGCCCAAAGAAAAUGGAUAAAUGGAUCCAAAAUUGAGGCUUUGAUGACUGGCUGUGCCAUUAAGUCAAAGGAGGAAAGAGAUUGUAUCUGAUGAUGACAAUAUCCUGAAAACCAAGAGGGCUGAAGGCCGUUAGCUGGGGAGACCAAAGGCCAGAUGCCUUGGGCAACAAUUUGCUCAGCAUAUCUCUUCCUAAAUUCCAAGACAGGCUGCUUGCUCUGCUCAGUCAAGACUGCCAACCCAAGAAACAUUUUCGAAAGAUCACAGUCAACAUCAUUGCCAAAAGAAGAAGUUCUUGGCACACAAAAGACCUGGUUCAAUAUGAGAUGCCAGAUGGUGAUUUCAACUUCAGCUAAAUUCCUGCUGAAAAAAGUGUUUGAACUGCAGAUGAGAAAAGCUUCUAUGACAAAUUUCCAAGCGUUAGAAGCUUCAGAGGGAGAUGGCAAGUGUUGAUACACCGCCCCCCCCCCCCUCAAGCACAUGCAUACACCACAGACUUACUACCUGCAGCUGGUAAUUAAGAUUCCCACAAAGAUGCCUCUGCUUUUUAAGAAGACUGAGCCCUGACUUAAUUUUUACGAAUAUCAAAGUGUAUU
Long non-coding RNA from Lontra canadensis (Northern American river otter), 645 nucleotides. RefSeq lists it as uncharacterized. Lineage: Eukaryota; Metazoa; Chordata; Mammalia; Carnivora; Mustelidae. The transcript is spliced from 3 exons. The record is from RefSeq and is a predicted model, not a curated record.